This is a long non-coding RNA of Mesocricetus auratus (golden hamster), 1108 nucleotides long. RefSeq lists it as uncharacterized. The record is from RefSeq and is a predicted model, not a curated record. NCBI's taxonomy places the organism in Eukaryota, Metazoa, Chordata, Mammalia, Rodentia, Cricetidae. The transcript has 3 exons.
UCCUCUUCCUCCUCGAAAACUGCAGAAACAAAACUCUAAGUAUCUUGAGCAUAGGAAACCUUGAAGACUGCCUCUGCAGACACACUUCUUCCAACAAGGACAUAGCCACUCCAACAAAGCCACACCUCCUAAUAGUGCCACUUCCUAUGAGAUUAUGGGGGCCAAUUACAUUCAAACUACUGCAGUAUGGCUUCUAAAAACUUUAGUUUCAAUAUUAUAGCUAAAUUAUGAGUGAGUGGAUGCACACUGAAGGAAAAGGCCAUGGGCAUUAGCGGAAGGUCGUACUUUUGUUUCCACCUAUGGAUUCCUUCAAAAUUAGUGAAGAUGAGAUUUGAAUGGUGGAUAUCUCCUGAGGAUUUUGGCUGCAGACAUGAGAGAGGAAGCCAGGAAAGACUGCAGGACAGGUGACAUGUAAGCCGAUCCCUCUGCAUGGGAACAGCUCUGAGACUGAGACAUGAUAAAUCUUGUUGGUUACAGGAACCUCAUGACUAUUAUAACAUGCCAUCCUUUUAUAUGGCAUGGGUAGAGAUUUAUAUUACAGUUUGGUUAUGCAGUUUAAAUGGACUUACAAAGUUGACACAUGUCUUUUACCUGCUCAAACACAGUUGAGAAUAAUCUUGUUGAUUUGUGAAUACCAUACAUUAUAUAUUUGUGUUAAUGCAGAUAUGUGUUACCUUUAAAAGAUUAUGUAUUUUCAAAAAGGAAAACGAAAAAGUACCAGACAUCAAUGAAGACAAGUGCUCCAGCUUCUCAGAAUACUUCUUUUGUAGUCUCAAAAUUCUACACCCAGAACAACUUCAAAGCUGCUAGUGAGACUCAUCUGCUCCUGGCAGCACCAUUCCAAAAAAGGAUGAUGGACAUCCAAUUACCUCCAUAUGGAGUAUGCUUUCAUUGUGGCAAAUUCACACACUGGGAUACGAAACUGCCCUUGCUUUGACUGCUGACAGUAUUCUGUCCAAAAUGGACAAGCAGGAUAUUAAUGAAGGCAACUGUCAAGGCAAGGUGCCAGACUGGGUUUUAUUGCUGUGGCUCUGAAGUAGAAGAUGGAAAUCUGGCAUAGAAAUGACCUCUCACGUUCUUAUUUCCAAUAAAACUGAUUUUGGAUGAA